This 254-nucleotide ribosomal RNA is filed under the name uncultured bacterium. Its description in RNAcentral is "partial 16S ribosomal RNA". It matches the Rfam family "Bacterial small subunit ribosomal RNA", at positions 524 to 776 of the family's 1533-position model. The record is from RNAcentral.
UACGGGGGGGGCAAGCGUUGUUCGGAAUUACUGGGCGUAAAGGGCUUGUAGGCGGCCAACUAAGUCAAACGUGAAAUCCCUCGGCUUAACCGGGGAACUGCGUCUGAUACUGGAUGGCUAGAGUGUGGGAGAGGGAUGCGGAAUUCCAGGUGUAGCGGUGAAAUGCGUAGAUAUCUGGAGGAACACCGGUGGCGAAGGCGGCAUCCUGGACCACGACUGACGCUGAGUGAGCGAAAGCCAGGGGAGCAAACGGG